RNAcentral lists this ribosomal RNA (382 nucleotides) under marine Metazoa environmental sample. RNAcentral describes it as "SSU rRNA". It matches the Rfam family "Eukaryotic small subunit ribosomal RNA", at positions 587 to 972 of the family's 1831-position model. Lineage: Eukaryota; Metazoa. The record is from RNAcentral.
AGCUCCAAUAGCGUAUAUUAAAGCUGUUGCAGUUAAAAAGCUCGUAGUUGGAUCUCGGAUUUGGGCUUGCGGUCCGAUGUCUUCGGUUUACUGCUCGUCUCGAUCUACCCGCCGGUCUUCCCCGGGUGCUCUUAGCUGAGUGCCUCUGGUUACCGGAACGUUUACUUUGAAAAAAUUAGAGUGUUCAAAGCAGGCUCACGAGCCUGAAUAAUGGUGCAUGGAAUAAUGGAAUAGGACCUCGGUUCUAUUUUGUUGGUUUUCGGAACUCGAGGUAAUGAUUAAGAGGGACGGACGGGGGCAUUCGUAUUACGGUGUUAGAGGUGAAAUUCUAGGAUCGCCGUAAGACGGACGGCUGCGAAAGCGUUUGCCAAGCACGUUUUCU